RNAcentral lists this ribosomal RNA (240 nucleotides) under uncultured bacterium. Its description in RNAcentral is "partial 16S ribosomal RNA". It matches the Rfam family "Bacterial small subunit ribosomal RNA", at positions 94 to 334 of the family's 1533-position model. The record is from RNAcentral.
AGCGGCGGACGGGUGAGUAACGCGUGGGUAACCUGCCUCAUACAGGGGGGUAACAGUUGGAAACGGCUGCUAAUACCGCAUAAGCGCACAGUACCGCAUGGUACCGUGUGAAAAACUCCGGUGGUAUGAGAUGGACCCGCGUCUGAUUAGCUAGUUGGUGGGGUAACGGCCUACCAAGGCGACGAUCAGUAGCCGACCUGAGAGGGUGACCGGCCACAUUGGGACUGAGACACGGCCCAA